AGGGCCCCAGCUCAGUGGCAGAGCAUCUGCUUGGCAUGCAGAAGGUUGUGGGUUCAAUCCUGGGCAUUG
This 69-nucleotide transfer RNA is filed under the name Podarcis muralis (Common wall lizard). It matches the Rfam family "tRNA". Rfam says of the family: Transfer RNA (tRNA) molecules are approximately 80 nucleotides in length. Lineage: Eukaryota; Metazoa; Chordata; Lepidosauria; Squamata; Lacertidae. The record is from Rfam by way of RNAcentral. RNAcentral also lists the same sequence under 1 other name.